AGAAUCAACGCUGGCGGCGUGCCUAACACAUGCAAGUCGAACGAGAAAGUGGAGCAAUCCACGAGUAAAGUGGCGCACGGGUGAGUAACACGUGACUAACCUACCCUUGAGUGGGGGAUAACCUAGGGAAGCCUGGGCUAAUACCGCAUAAUACCUUCGGGUCAAAGGAGCAAUUCGCUUAAGGAGGGGGUCGCGGCCGAUUAGUUAGUUGGCGGGGUAAUGGCCCACCAAGACUGUGAUCGGUAU
This 246-nucleotide ribosomal RNA is filed under the name uncultured bacterium. RNAcentral's name for it is "partial small subunit ribosomal RNA". It matches the Rfam family "Bacterial small subunit ribosomal RNA", at positions 26 to 286 of the family's 1533-position model. The record is from RNAcentral.